GACGAACGCUGGCGGCGUGCUUAACACAUGCAAGUCGAACGGAAAGGCCCUUCGGGGUACUCGAGUGGCGAACGGGUGAGUAACACGUGGGUGAUCUGCCCUGCACUUUGGGAUAAGCCUGGGAAACUGGGUCUAAUACCGAAUAGGACCACGCGCUUCAUGGUGUGUGGUGGAAAGCUUUUGCGGUGUGGGAUGGGCCCGCGGCCUAUCAGCUUGUUGGUGGGGUAAUGGCCUACCAAGGCGACGACGGGUAGCCGGCCUGAGAGGGUGACCGGCCACACUGGGACUGAGAUACGGCCCAGACUCCUACGGGAGGCAGCAGUGGGGAAUAUUGCACAAUGGGCGCAAGCCUGAUGCAGCGACGCCGCGUGAGGGAUGACGGCCUUCGGGUUGUAAACCUCUUUCAAUAGGGACGAAGCGCAAGUGACGGUACCUAUAGAAGAAGCACCGGCCAACUACGUGCCAGCAGCCGCGGUAAUACGUAGGGUGCGAGCGUUGUCCGGAAUUACUGGGCGUAAAGAGCUCGUAGGUGGUUUGUCGCGUUGUUCGUGAAAACUCACAGCUUAACUGUGGGCGUGCGGGCGAUACGGGCAGACUAGAGUACUGCAGGGGAGACUGGAAUUCCUGGUGUAGCGGUGGAAUGCGCAGAUAUCAGGAGGAACACCGGUGGCGAAGGCGGGUCUCUGGGCAGUAACUGACGCUGAGGAGCGAAAGCGUGGGGAGCGAACAGGAUUAGAUACCCUGGUAGUCCACGCCGUAAACGGUGGGUACUAGGUGUGGGUUCCUUCCUUGGGAUCCGUGCCGUAGCUAACGCAUUAAGUACCCCGCCUGGGGAGUACGGCCGCAAGGCUAAAACUCAAAGGAAUUGACGGGGGCCCGCACAAGCGGCGGAGCAUGCGGAUUAAUUCGAUGCAACGCGAAGAACCUUACCUGGGUUUGACAUGCACAGGACGCCGGCAGAGAUGUCGGUUCCCUUGUGGCCUGUGUGCAGGUGGUGCAUGGCUGUCGUCAGCUCGUGUCGUGAGAUGUUGGGUUAAGUCCCGCAACGAGCGCAACCCUUGUCCUAUGUUGCCAGCGGGUUAUGCCGGGGACUCGUAGGAGACUGCCGGGGUCAACUCGGAGGAAGGUGGGGAUGACGUCAAGUCAUCAUGCCCCUUAUGUCCAGGGCUUCACACAUGCUACAAUGGCCGGUACAAAGGGCUGCGAUGCCGUGAGGUGGAGCGAAUCCUUUCAAAGCCGGUCUCAGUUCGGAUCGGGGUCUGCAACUCGACCCCGUGAAGUCGGAGUCGCUAGUAAUCGCAGAUCAGCAACGCUGCGGUGAAUACGUUCCCGGGCCU
RNAcentral lists this ribosomal RNA (1337 nucleotides) under uncultured bacterium. RNAcentral describes it as "bacterial SSU rRNA". It matches the Rfam family "Bacterial small subunit ribosomal RNA", at positions 28 to 1381 of the family's 1533-position model. The record is from RNAcentral.